RNAcentral lists this ribosomal RNA (1240 nucleotides) under Vibrio alginolyticus. RNAcentral describes it as "bacterial SSU rRNA". It matches the Rfam family "Bacterial small subunit ribosomal RNA", at positions 108 to 1339 of the family's 1533-position model. The record is from RNAcentral. Lineage: Bacteria; Pseudomonadati; Pseudomonadota; Gammaproteobacteria; Vibrionales; Vibrionaceae.
GAGAAAAGCCUAGGAAAUUGCCCUGAUGUGGGGGAUAACCAUUGGAAACGAUGGCUAAUACCGCAUGAUGCCUACGGGCCAAAGAGGGGGACCUUCGGGCCUCUCGCGUCAGGAUAUGCCUAGGUGGGAUUAGCUAGUUGGUGAGGUAAGGGCUCACCAAGGCGACGAUCCCUAGCUGGUCUGAGAGGAUGAUCAGCCACACUGGAACUGAGACACGGUCCAGACUCCUACGGGAGGCAGCAGUGGGGAAUAUUGCACAAUGGGCGCAAGCCUGAUGCAGCCAUGCCGCGUGUGUGAAGAAGGCCUUCGGGUUGUAAAGCACUUUCAGUCGUGAGGAAGGUAGUGUAGUUAAUAGCUGCAUUAUUUGACGUUAGCGACAAGAAGAAGCACCGGCUAACUCCGUGCCAGCAGCCGCGGUAAUACGGAGGGUGCGAGCGUUAAUCGGAAUUACUGGGCGUAAAGCGCAUGCAGGUGGUUUGUUAAGUCAGAUGUGAAAGCCCGGGGCUCAACCUCGGAAUAGCAUUUGAAACUGGCAGACUAGAGUACUGUAGAGGGGGGUAGAAUUUCAGGUGUAGCGGUGAAAUGCGUAGAGAUCUGAAGGAAUACCGGUGGCGAAGGCGGCCCCCUGGACAGAUACUGACACUCAGAUGCGAAAGCGUGGGGAGCAAACAGGAUUAGAUACCCUGGUAGUCCACGCCGUAAACGAUGUCUACUUGGAGGUUGUGGCCUUGAGCCGUGGCUUUCGGAGCUAACGCGUUAAGUAGACCGCCUGGGGAGUACGGUCCGCAAGAUUAAAACUCAAAUGAAUUGACGGGGGCCCGCACAAGCGGUGGAGCAUGUGGUUUAAUUCGAUGCAACGCGAAGAACCUUACCUACUCUUGACAUCCAGAGAACUUUCCAGGAGAUGGAAUGGUGCCUUCGGGAACUCUGAAGACAGGUGCUGCAUGGCUGUCGGUCAGCUCGUGUUGUGAAAUGUUGGGUUAAGUCCCGCAACGAGCGCAACCCUUAUCCUUGUUUGCCAGCGAGUAAUGUCGGGAACUCCAGGGAGACUGCCGGUGAUAAACCGGAGGAAGGUGGGGACGACGUCAAGUCAUCAUGGCCCUUACGAGUAGGGCUACACACGUGCUACAAUGGCGCAUACAGAGGGCGGCCAACUUGCGAAAGUGAGCGAAUCCCAAAAAGUGCGUCGUAGUCCGGAUUGGAGUCUGCAACUCGACUCCAUGAAGUCGGAAUCGCUAGU